GGGGACGCAACCUCGCGCCAACUGUCAAAAUGUUUUGAAAAACAAAAUGCUCUUAUUUCGAUGCAUUUCAAGAGUUUUGUUGUGAUAAGAACACUGGAAUAUAGACUGAAAUACUAUCCAACCAUUAGACUCAUGAUCCUGACAUGGAUCCAAGAUGUUGGUAACUAGGCGGGACGGAUUGUUACACAGAACUGCAGGUUUCUGACUGGAGACUCAGCGCCAUGUCACAAAUACUUCAGAACCUAGAAUGAAAGUUACCGAAAGAGCAAUAGACUUUCCAAUCUCUACAAAAUUCAUCUUAACUGUUUUUCAAGGUGAUACUUGAGACUACCAAAGACUUUUCAAGGACAGAAUUUACAAAACAGUUUAUGCCACCAUCUCAUAUCAAAGGAUUGUGCUUGAGUUGAACAGCCUUCAAACAGAAACUGCUUCAACACCUUCAUUCUGAUUCAGUUUACCCUUGCUGUGAUCUGAGCAACUAUUUACAUCAAUUCAACAUUGUAAAUUGUUUAAACUUGAAAAUUCUGUCUUCGUGCAACUCACAUGAAUCUAUUUACUGUGGACUUUGAUGUUGACUCUAUACAGGAAGAAGAGACCAUCUUUAUACAUGCUGGCAUAUCUUUUAAAAAGGAAACAAAUAUUAUAACCAACAUACUACACUGUUAUGUCAUCCAAGGACUCAGCUACUGACUCAAUUUAUAAAUACUUCAAAUGUCAAUGUAAUUACUGCUGUGCAUAAUAAGAUAUUUUUUAUUAUGCGCCCCUUCGAAGAAGAGGGGUAUAUUGCUUUGCACAUGUCAGUCGGUCCUGGACGUAUGGUCAUCAAACUUGACAUGAAGGUUGGGCCUGACCAGUAGAUGAUUUUAGGGCUCAUCAGGUCAAAGGUCAAGGUCACAGUGACCUUGAAUGGUAAAUUAAUUUAAAAGCUUGUCCGAGUGAUAACUCAACAAUGCCUAGACCUUUCGUCAUCAAACUUGAUAUGGAAGUUGGGCCUCACCAGUAGAUGACCCCUAUUGGUUUUGGGGAUCAUCGAGCCAAAGAUCAAGGUCACAGUGACCUUGAAUGGUAAAAGGUUGUCCAAGUGAUAAAUCAACAAUGCCUGCCCCCAUGGCCCUCAAACUUGACUCGGAGGUUGGGCCUUACCAGUAGAUGACCCCUAGGUCAAAGUGAUCUUGAAAGCAAACUCGACAAUUCCUGGACCAAUCAUGCCAUUCAGUCUGAAUGGUCAUCAAACUUGACAUAAAGGUUGGGCCUGACCAGUAGAUGACCCCUCUUGACUUUGAGGGUCAUCAAGCCAAGGUCAAGGUCACAAUAACCUUUAAUGCAAAAAAGAUAACAAAUCCUCUCUCAGGGAUAUCUCAACAAUGCCUGAACCUAUGAUCAUCAAACUUGACAGGGAAGUUGGUCCUGACAAGAUGACGCUUAUUGAUUUUAGGAGUCAUUGGGUCAAAGGUCAAGUUCACAGUGACCUUGAAUGCGAAAAUGUUUUUAGUGAUAACUUGACAAUGCCUGUACCCAUGGCCCUCAAACCUGACUUGGAGUUGUGUCUGGCCUGUAAAUGAGUCCCUUUCAUUUUAGGGGUCAUCGGGUCAAACGUCAAGGUCACAGUGACAUUGAUUGAAAAAAGCUUGUCUGUGUGAUAACAUGUCAAUGCCUGAACCCAUGUCCCUCAAACUUGACAUUUAGAUUUUUGUAGACCAGCUGAUGACUCAUAUGGAUUUUGAGGUCAUAGAGUUAAAGGUCAUGGUCAUAACACACUCUAUCCUCAAACUUUGAAUGGUCAUAAUCUUAAAACUGCCUCAACGGCAUCCAAUGUCAGUGACUAAUCAGCUGUCAUUUCGGUACAUGCUUAUUUCAUUCAAUUGUUCAUAUAAUCCUGACAACAUGGCGCUCAGGGGGGCAUAAUGUUUGACAAACAUCUCUUGUUGAUACUUGGCUCAUUUCUUACAUGUAGCUGUAACAUUUUGGGCAACUUCUCAAUUAUUUUGUUUAAGACAUUUUUUAUCCAGCUCAUCUAAGCCUAAGUUAGUGUUCAUGUUAACUUUUAUGACUGCCUGUUUAUUGUACUUUUUAUAAAUUAUUUUUAAUGACUUUUUCUCAAGAACCAUUUGGCUAGGUAUGUCUCCUCCUGAAAUAGACUAAUUCUUUUAGCUCCAGUUGUCUGUCUGUCCGUCUGUUACAAAUUGUGUCUGCUCCAUGUCUCUUUAACCUUUUGAAGGAUUUGAUAUAACUUCCCACAAAUGUACAUCAUAUUGUAAGGAAGGGUUUAUUAUUAUAACUGUUGAGCAGUUUCUGAACUUGACUGUAUUAUAUCUUGCAUUUACCUCAAGCUGUUAAGUGAACAAUAUAACAUUGACCAAUACAAGGAACUAAACCUUCUAGGUCACCAUUUUGGAAUAAAGUAAUACUUAAAGCUCAUAUUUCCAUAAGAAUCUGCUCAUAUACAGUUUAAAUAGCUUAUACAAGUAUAUCAUUUUAACAUAACAUCAGAUCUUCCACUGUUUUAUAUUUGCAACAUUUUUUUUUAAACUUUGAUUUAUAUAUCAUGACUUUUAUGAACAAAUACCAAACAGCAACUCACAGAUCUAUACUCAUUUGGGCAGAUUUUGUAAAUCCAAGCAUUGUCAAUUGAUAUUCAGUGCUUUUUGGCAAAUUGGGGCAUUUUCUGUCACAUUAAAAUCAAUAUUGACAAUAAAUCUCCAACUUCAAUAUUCUUAUAGUUUUGUGCCCAUUCUUUGCCAAUUAUUUGUUU
Molecule: long non-coding RNA, 2752 nt
Organism: Mya arenaria
Lineage: Eukaryota; Metazoa; Mollusca; Bivalvia; Myida; Myidae
Exons: 3
Source: RefSeq, a predicted model, not a curated record